UGAGGAAUAUUGGUCAAUGGGCGAGAGCCUGAACCAGCCAAGUAGCGUGCAGGAUGACGGCCCUAUGGGUUGUAAACUGCUUUUGUAUGGGGAUAAAGUCAAUCACGUGUGAUUGUUUGCAGGUACCAUACGAAUAAGGACCGGCUAAUUCCGUGCCAGCAGCCGCGGUAAUACGGAAGGUCCGGGCGUUAUCCGGAUUUAUUGGGUUUAAAGGGAGCGUAGGCUGGAGAUUAAGUGUGUUGUGAAAUGGAAAACUCUCAACUUCUGACUUGCAGCGCAUACUGGUUUCCUUGAGUACGCACAACGUUGGCGGAAUUCGUCGUGUAGCGGUGAAAUGCUUAGAUAUGACGAAGAACUCCGAUUGCGAAGGCAGCUGACGGGAGCGCAACUGACGCUGAAGCUCGAAGGUGCGGGUAUCGAACAGGAUUAGAUACCCUGGUAGUCCGCACAGUAAACGAUGGAUGCCCGCUGUUGGUACCUGGUAUCAGCGGCUAAGCGAAAGCAUUAAGCAUCCCACCUGGGGAGUACGCCGGCAACGGUG
Molecule: ribosomal RNA, 541 nt
Filed under: uncultured bacterium
Lineage: Bacteria
Description: bacterial SSU rRNA
Rfam family: Bacterial small subunit ribosomal RNA
Source: RNAcentral